AGCGACCUUGCCUCGUGGUGGGGGAUAGCCGGCCCAACGGCCGGGUAAUACCGCAUAUGGUAGUUCUUUCGCAUGGGAGAACUAGCAAAGCUGAGUCGUAAGACUUGGCGCCACAGGGGGGGCUCGCGGCCUAUCAGCUAGUUGGGGGGGUAAUGGCCCACCAAGGCGACGACGGGUAGCUGGUCUGAGAGGAUGGCCAGCCACAUUGGGACUGAGAGACGGCCCAG
RNAcentral lists this ribosomal RNA (227 nucleotides) under uncultured bacterium. RNAcentral's name for it is "partial 16S ribosomal RNA". It matches the Rfam family "Bacterial small subunit ribosomal RNA", at positions 120 to 334 of the family's 1533-position model. The record is from RNAcentral.